Molecule: long non-coding RNA, 545 nt
Filed under: Androctonus crassicauda
Lineage: Eukaryota; Metazoa; Arthropoda; Arachnida; Scorpiones; Buthidae
Source: RNAcentral
UAUAAUCUGUGUAUAUUUAGUAAUGUACAGCGGACUCCCGCAUAAACGCGGAGAUACGUUUUGCGUUAUAGGAAAUCGCGUAUUAUAUAGUUUAAAUAAUACAUGAUUUAAAUAAAUAUAAAUAAUAUCGCGUAUUAUUUAUAUUAUAUUUAUAGUUGUUUAUUUAUAAAUCGAGCAUUAAUCGUAAUUUUAAGCUGAAUGUUGGCACUGAAGAGGGACUAAACAUAAUGUCCGAAAACGUUAUGCCAAAAUAAAAUUCUCUUUGCUUGUAAUGCUAUGGUAUUCUUCUUUACAGUUAAUCGUAAUUUUUUUAAUCGUGUUAUAGGAGAGUUUAACUGUAAUCGGGAAGAAAUACCAAUUUUUAAAAAUAAGUUUAGCCUAUCCAACCGCUACCAAAAGGACACGUUACUAAUGCAAAUAGAGUUCUACCGGACCGUUUUAUAUAUUUUCGAUGGUAUUUGUGCAGUAUCCAAUGUUUAAUUACAUAAAAAAUAUUAAUUUAUAUAAAUUAUGAUAUAUAUAUAUAUAUAUAUACACAUUUUAAA